UACAGAGACUGCAAGCGUUGUUCGGAUUCAUUGGGCGUAAAGGGCGCGUAGGCGGUCCGGUAAGUCGGGUGUGAAAUCUCAUAGCCUAACUAUGAGCGGUCAUUCGAAACUGCCGGGCUCGAGGAAUGGAGAGGAGACUGGAAUGGUCGGUGUAGCGGUGAAAUGCGUAGAGAUCGACCAGAACACCGGUGGCGAAGGCGGGUCUCUGGACAUUUCCUGACGCUGAGGCGCGAAAGCCAGGGGAGCAAACGGG
RNAcentral lists this ribosomal RNA (253 nucleotides) under uncultured bacterium. Its description in RNAcentral is "partial 16S ribosomal RNA". It matches the Rfam family "Bacterial small subunit ribosomal RNA", at positions 524 to 776 of the family's 1533-position model. The record is from RNAcentral.